AACGAACGCUGGCGGCAUGCCUAACACAUGCAAGUCGAACGAGACCUCCGGGUCUUGUGGCGCACGGGUGCGUAACGCGUGGGAACCUGCCCUUAGGUACGGAAUAACUCCCCGAAAGGGGUGCUAAUACCGGAUAAUGUCUUCGGACCAAAGAUUUAUCGCCGUUGGAUGGGCCCGCGUUGGAUUAGCUGGUUGGUAGGGUAAAAGCCUACCAAGGCGACGAUGCAUAGCUGGUCUGAGAGGAUGAUCAGCCACACUGGGGCUGCGACACGGCCCAGACUCCUACGGAAGGCAGCAGUGGGGAAUAUUGGACAAGGGGCGAAGGCCUGAUCCAGCAAUGCCGCGUGAGUGAUGAAGGCCUUAGGGUUGUAAAGCUCUUUUACCCGGGAUGAUAAUGACGGUACCGGGAGAAUAAGCUCCGGCUAACUCCGUG
This 433-nucleotide ribosomal RNA is filed under the name uncultured bacterium. RNAcentral's name for it is "partial 16S ribosomal RNA". It matches the Rfam family "Bacterial small subunit ribosomal RNA", at positions 29 to 507 of the family's 1533-position model. The record is from RNAcentral.